GCGGCCGCUCUGUUUGAUCCUGGCGGAGGUUACUGCUAUCGAGGUUCGACUAAGCCAUGCGAGUCGAAUGUAGCAAUACAUGGCGUACUGCUCAGUAACACGUGGACAACCUACCCUCAGCACGGGGAUAAACCCGGGAAACUGGGUAUAAUACCCGAUAGUUCUGGGAUGCUGGAAUGCCUCCAGGGCGAAAGCCCGGCGGCUGAGGAUGGGUCUGCGGCCUAUCAGGUAGUAGUUGGUGUAAUGUACCCACUAGCCUACGACGGGUACGGGUUGUGAGAGCAAGAGCCCGGAGAUGGAUUCUGAGACACGAAUCCAGGCCCUACGGGGUGCAGCAGGCGCGAAAACUUUACAAUGCUGGCAACAGCGAUAAGGGGACCUCGAGUGCCAGGAUACAAUCUUGGCUGUCGUCGUGUCUAAAUAACACGGCAUAGCAAGGGCCGGGCAAGACCGGUGCCAGCCGCCGCGGUAACACCGGCGGCUCGAGUGGUAACCGCUAUUAUUGGGUCUAAAGGGUCUGUAGCCGGCCGGAUAAGUCUCUUGGGAAAUCCAGCAGCUCAGCUGUUGGGCUUUCAGGAGAUACUGUUUCGGCUCGAGGCUGGGAGAGGUGAGAGGUACUUCAGGGGUAGGGGUGAAAUCUUGUAAUCCUUGAAGGACCACCAGUGGCGAAGGCGUCUCACCAGAACGGUCCUGACGGCAAGGGACGAAAGCUAGGGGCACGAACCGGAUUAGAUACCCGGGUAGUCCUAGCCGUAAACGAUACUCGCUAGGUGUCGGCCACGGUGCGACCGUGGUCGGUGCCGUAGGGAAGCCGUGAAGCGAGCCACCUGGGAAGUACGGCCGCAAGGCUGAAACUUAAAGGAACUGGCGGGGGAGCACUACAACGGGUGGAGCUGCGGUUUAAUUGGAUUCAACGCCGGGAAGCUUACCGGGAUCGACAGCGAUAUGAAGGCCAGGCUGAAGACCUUGCCGGAUUAGCUGAGAGGUGGUGCAUGGCCGUCGUCAGUUCGUACUGCGAAGCAUCCUGUUAAGUCAGGCAACGAGCGAGACCC
RNAcentral lists this ribosomal RNA (1052 nucleotides) under uncultured archaeon. Its description in RNAcentral is "bacterial SSU rRNA". It matches the Rfam family "Archaeal small subunit ribosomal RNA", at positions 1 to 1053 of the family's 1478-position model. The record is from RNAcentral.